AGACCCAUUUCUUGAUUUAUGAAAUCUAACAGGAAAUCAUAAAUGAGAAAGUGAUAACUUGGUUCGAGCCAAGUGGCUUCAUCCAUCAGAAGAUUCACAGAUAGUAGUUUAUUAUAUCUGGGAAAUCUAAACUCAAUAGGGAAACUUGAGAGGUACAUCCACAAAACACUGAAGUUCAAAAGUAGUUGCUCUUGUAGAAGU
Molecule: unclassified non-coding RNA, 201 nt
Filed under: Hevea brasiliensis (rubber tree)
Lineage: Eukaryota; Viridiplantae; Streptophyta; Magnoliopsida; Malpighiales; Euphorbiaceae
Source: RNAcentral